GAUGAACGCUGGCGGCGUGCCUAAUACAUGCAAGUCGAGCGAAUGGAUUAAGAGCUUGCUCUUAUGAAGUUAGCGGCGGACGGGUGAGUAACACGUGGGUAACCUGCCCAUAAGACUGGGAUAACUCCGGGAAACCGGGGCUAAUACCGGAUAACAUUUUGAACCGCAUGGUUCGAAAUUGAAAGGCGGCUUCGGCUGUCACUUAUGGAUGGACCCGCGUCGCAUUAGCUAGCUGGUGAGGUAACGGCUCACCAAGGCAACGAUGCGUAGCCGACCUGAGAGGGUGAGCGGACACACUGGGACUGGGACACGGCCCAGACUCCCACGGGAGGCAGCAGUAGGGAAUCUUCCGCAAUGGACGAAAGUCUGACGGAGCCACGCCGCGUGAGUGAUGAAGGCUUUCGGGUCGUAAAACUCUGUUGUUAGGGAAGAACAAGUGCUAGUUGAAUAAGCUGGCACCUUGACGGUACCUAACCAGAAAGCCACGGCUAACUACGUGCCAGCCGCCGCGGUAA
RNAcentral lists this ribosomal RNA (515 nucleotides) under uncultured bacterium. RNAcentral describes it as "partial 16S ribosomal RNA". It matches the Rfam family "Bacterial small subunit ribosomal RNA", at positions 28 to 523 of the family's 1533-position model. The record is from RNAcentral.